RNAcentral lists this ribosomal RNA (356 nucleotides) under uncultured bacterium. RNAcentral describes it as "bacterial SSU rRNA". It matches the Rfam family "Bacterial small subunit ribosomal RNA", at positions 28 to 409 of the family's 1533-position model. The record is from RNAcentral.
GAUGAACGCUGGCGGCGUGCUUAACACAUGCAAGUCGAACGAACCUUCGGGUUAGUGGCGGACGGGUGAGUAACGCGUGAGAAUCUGCCCUCAGGAGGGGGAUAACGGCUGGAAACGGCCGCUAAUACCCCCAUAUGCCGAGAGGUGAAAUGAAAUUCGCCUGAGGAUGAGCUCGCGUCUGAUUAGCUAGUUGGUGUGGUAAAGGCUCACCAAGGCUUCGAUCAGUAGCUGGUCUGAGAGGAUGAUCAGCCACACUGGGACUGAGACACGGCCCAGACUCCUACGGGAGGCAGCAGUGGGGAAUUUUCCGCAAAUGGGGCGCAAAGGCCCUGACGGAGCAACGCCGCGUGAGGGAU